This 532-nucleotide ribosomal RNA is filed under the name Escherichia coli. RNAcentral describes it as "partial 23S ribosomal RNA". It matches the Rfam family "Bacterial large subunit ribosomal RNA", at positions 1116 to 1649 of the family's 2925-position model. The record is from RNAcentral. Lineage: Bacteria; Pseudomonadati; Pseudomonadota; Gammaproteobacteria; Enterobacterales; Enterobacteriaceae.
CCAUCAUUUAAAGAAAGCGUAAUAGCUCACUGGUCGAGUCGGCCUGCGCGGAAGAUGUAACGGGGCUAAACCAUGCACCGAAGCUGCGGCAGCGACGCUUAUGCGUUGUUGGGUAGGGGAGCGUUCUGUAAGCCUGUGAAGGUGUACUGUGAGGUAUGCUGGAGGUAUCAGAAGUGCGAAUGCUGACAUAAGUAACGAUAAAGCGGGUGAAAAGCCCGCUCGCCGGAAGACCAAGGGUUCCUGUCCAACGUUAAUCGGGGCAGGGUGAGUCGACCCCUAAGGCGAGGCCGAAAGGCGUAGUCGAUGGGAAACAGGUUAAUAUUCCUGUACUUGGUGUUACUGCGAAGGGGGGACGGAGAAGGCUAUGUUGGCCGGGCGACGGUUGUCCCGGUUUAAGCGUGUAGGCUGGUUUUCCAGGCAAAUCCGGAAAAUCAAGGCUGAGGCGUGAUGACGAGGCACUACGGUGCUGAAGCAACAAAUGCCCUGCUUCCAGGAAAAGCCUCUAAGCAUCAGGUAACAUCAAAUCGUACCC